RNAcentral lists this ribosomal RNA (498 nucleotides) under uncultured bacterium. RNAcentral describes it as "bacterial SSU rRNA". It matches the Rfam family "Bacterial small subunit ribosomal RNA", at positions 903 to 1397 of the family's 1533-position model. The record is from RNAcentral.
AAAGGAAUUGACGGGGGCCCGCACAAGCAGUGGAGCAUGUGGUUUAAUUCGACGCAACGCGCAGAACCUUACCAGGGCUUGACAUCCCCUGACAGCUGUGGAAACACGGUUUUCUGGCUUAGGUCAGACAGGGAGACAGGUGCUGCAUGGUUGUCGUCAGCUCGUGUCGUGAGAUGUUGGGUUAAGUCCCGCAACGAGCGCAACCCCUGUCCUGUGUUGCCAGCGUAGAGCCGGGCACUCACAGGAGACUGCCGGAGAGAAUUCGGAGGAAGGUGGGGAUGACGUCAAAUCAUCAUGGCCCUUAUACCCUGGGCUACACACGUGCUACAAUGGCAGGCACAGAGGGGAGCCAAGGAGCGAUCCGGAGCGAAUCUCAGAAAGCCUGUCCCAGUUCGGAUUGGGGGCUGAAACUCGCCCCCAUGAAGCCGGAAUUGCUAGUAAUCGCGGAUCAGCUACGCCGCGGUGAAUACGUUCCCGGGCCUUGUACACACCGCCCGU